Molecule: ribosomal RNA, 400 nt
Filed under: uncultured bacterium
Lineage: Bacteria
Description: bacterial SSU rRNA
Rfam family: Bacterial small subunit ribosomal RNA
Source: RNAcentral
UGGGGAAUAUUCCGCAAUGGGGGCAACCCUGACGGAGCAAUACCGCGUGGGGGAGGACGGCCUUUGGGUUGUAAACCCCUUUUCUCAGGGAAGAACACAAUGACGGUACCUGAGGAAUCAGCCUCGGCUAACUCCGUGCCAGCAGCCGCGGUAAGACGGAGGAGGCAAGCGUUAUCCGGAAUCAUUGGGCGUAAAGCGUCCGCAGGUGGCCCAUCAAGUCUGCUGUUAAAGCCCAGGGCUCAACCCUGGAUCAGCAGUGGAAACUGGUGAGCUUAGAGAGCGGUAGGGGUAGAGGGAAUUCCCGGUGUAGCGGUGAAAUGCGUAGAGAUCGGGAAGAACACCAGUGGCGAAAGCGCUCUACUGGACCGCAACUGACACUGAGGGACGAAAGCUAGGGGAG